AUUUUCUUUUCUUUUGAGGCGUUUUUCUAUUUUCUUCCAAGCCAUUUUUACAACUUUGGUACCUGUGCCUAGUAAAUUUUAUGUACUUUGUGAAUAAAUAAAGGUUUUUGACAGGAACUAUUUUUUUCAGGGCAUAGGAGGCUACUUCCUGUGAUGCACUCGAGGUGUUUAUAAACAAAGUGAAAACACGUGGAUUUGAGGGUAGCCCUGUUUGCAGAUGGAAAAAGUCCGAAAAUGCCGUGUGGGUACCCUGUUUUUUGGUGUCAGCUAAUGUGACAGGGCAUAGGAGGCUACUUCCUGAGAUGCACUCGAGGUGUUUAUAAACAAAGUGAAAACACGUGGAUUUGACGGUAGCCCUGUUUGCAGAUGGAAAAAGUCCGAAAAUGCCGUGUGGGUACCCUGUUUUUUGGUGUCAGCUAAUGUGACAGGGCAUAGGAGGCUACUUCCUGUGAUGCACUCGAGGUGUUUAUAAACAAAGUGAAAACACGUGGAUUUGAGGGUAGCCCUGUUUGCAGAUGGAAAAAGUCCGAAAAUGCCGUGUGGGUACCCUGUUUUUUGGUGUCAGCUAAUGUGACAGAUCACCUCCUAUAAAUUUUAUCAGCAGUUUUUGUACACCCACCCACCUCAAAGAAUCAUGGAUGAUGUCCUGAAACUGGUCUCUGUGAUGCAUUUUGUCACAUAUAAAUGUGUUCAAACCCAUAAAAAUGUUUAAUAUUUAUAUUUUAAAAUUUGAAUUUUUAUUUUUUAUGUAAAUUUGGUGAAAGAAAAAGAUGUAAUCUUGCAUAAAUCAUGGAAAUUCAUUAAACACCUUUGGAAUUCCUGAGUAAAUCCAUGAAAAGAGAAUAAUUAUGCAUGUUAAAUUGAAAUUUCAUGGCUACUUUGUGUCUUAAGAGAAAGCCAGUUACAUAAAUCACAACAAUAAAUUACAUCUGAAUUGUUGUCUCCAUUUUCUUAUCAUCAAAGCCAGUUUAUUGGAGUGUUGGAGCUGUCAAGAACCUCCCUAGAUGCUGAUAUCAUUUAGACUGACCUGAGUUACAACACAGCAUUUAGAUAAACUUCUGCACAGCAUCUUGUAGACAAAUACCUAGGCUUUAUUUGGAACAUAAAUUGACCAGAUACAGUUUUCAUUAUCAACCCAGUAUUUAACAAUUUCUGUAUUUUUGUUCAUUCUUUGAAGGGGAAAAUGCAACUUUGUUAUGUAAUAAUUACAUAAUGGUCUUAGACUUGUAACCUCUUUUUUGUUUGUUGUGAAGAACAAAGCAUAUACUCUCCACAGAUAAAAAAUUGGUUGCCAAGCUUAUUCUUUUAAUGAUGAAAUUCUGCUUCAAAAGAUGCACAAAAAACUGCUUCCAG
Long non-coding RNA from Saccostrea cuccullata (small rock oyster), 1353 nucleotides. RefSeq lists it as uncharacterized. NCBI's taxonomy places the organism in Eukaryota, Metazoa, Mollusca, Bivalvia, Ostreida, Ostreidae. The transcript is spliced from 4 exons. The record is from RefSeq and is a predicted model, not a curated record.